This 253-nucleotide ribosomal RNA is filed under the name uncultured bacterium. RNAcentral's name for it is "partial 16S ribosomal RNA". It matches the Rfam family "Bacterial small subunit ribosomal RNA", at positions 524 to 776 of the family's 1533-position model. The record is from RNAcentral.
UACGUAGGGUGCGAGCGUUGUCCGGAAUUAUUGGGAGUAAAGGGCUCGUAGGCGGUUUGUCGCGUCGGGAGUGAAAUCCACUGGCUUAACUGGUGGCUUGCUUUCGAUACGGGCAGACUGGAGGUAUGCAGGGGAGAACGGAAUUCCUGGUGUAGCGGUGAAAUGCGCAGAUAUCAGGAGGAACACCGGUGGCGAAGGCGGUUCUCUGGGCAUGUCCUGACGCUGAGGAGCGAAAGUGUGGGGAGCGAACAGG